AACGAACGCUGGCGGCAUGCCUAACACAUGCAAGUCGAACGAAACCUUCGGGUCUAGUGGCGCACGGGUGCGUAACGCGUGGGGACCUGCCCUUAGGUUUGGAAUAACUCCCCGAAAGGGGUGCUAAUACCGGAUAAUGUCUUCGGACCAAAGAUUUAUCGCCUUUGGAUGGGCCCGCGUUGGAUUAGCUUGUUGGUAGGGUAAAAGCCUACCAAGGCGACGAUCCAUAGCUGGUCUGAGAGGAUGAUCAGCCACACUGGGACUGAGACACGGCCCAGACUCCUACGGGAGGCAGCAGUGGGGAAUAUUGGACAAUGGGCGAAAGCCUGAUCCAGCAAUGCCGCGUGAGUGAUGAAGGCCUUAGGGUUGUAAAGCUCUUUUACCCGGGAUGAUAAUGACAGUACCGGGAGAAUAAGCUCCGGCUAACUCCGUG
RNAcentral lists this ribosomal RNA (433 nucleotides) under uncultured bacterium. RNAcentral's name for it is "partial 16S ribosomal RNA". It matches the Rfam family "Bacterial small subunit ribosomal RNA", at positions 29 to 507 of the family's 1533-position model. The record is from RNAcentral.